Molecule: ribosomal RNA, 253 nt
Filed under: uncultured bacterium
Lineage: Bacteria
Description: partial 16S ribosomal RNA
Rfam family: Bacterial small subunit ribosomal RNA
Source: RNAcentral
UACGGAGGGUGCAAGCGUUAUCCGGAUUCACUGGGUUUAAAGGGUGCGUAGGAGGGUAGGUAAGUCAGUGGUGAAAUCUUCGAGCUUAACUCGGAAACUGCCGUUGAUACUAUCUAUCUUGAACACCGUGGAGGUGAGCGGAAUAUGUCAUGUAGCGGUGAAAUGCUUAGAUAUGACAUAGAACACCAAUUGCGAAGGCAGCUCGCUACACGAAUAUUGACUCUGAGGCACGAAAGCGUGGGGAUCAAACAGG